This is a non-coding RNA of Seriola aureovittata, 458 nucleotides long. The record is from the annotation of a RefSeq genome assembly. Lineage: Eukaryota; Metazoa; Chordata; Actinopteri; Carangiformes; Carangidae.
GAGCCACUGACACGCCGGCAGCACAAUGAUGAUGUCUCUGACUCUACUGCUGGCCACCCUGGGGCUCCUUGUUCAGGGUUCAUCAGGACAAAACAUCCUGACUCAGUCUCCUGGAUCUCAGUCUGUUGUUCCAGGACAGACUGUCUCUAUCAGAUGUAAAGCCACUUCAGGUACAAGCUACCUCCACUGGUACCUUCAGAAAUCUGGAGAAGCUCCUAAACUCCUGAUUUAUGAAGUUACAACCCGUCAGUCUGGAGUUCCAGAUCGUUUUAGUGGAAGUCGAUCAGGGACUGACUACACUCUGACCAUCAGUGGAGUUCAGGGUGAAGAUUCAGGAGUUUACUACUGUCAGCAGAGUGGCAGCUUCCCGUUCACACAGUGAAAAAGCGUCGUACAAAAACCUCCCUCAGCUGCAGAGGAACUGAUCUGACUCAACAGCUGCACUGAAAGUCAAACAC